UACCAUUUUGAGAAAAGAUAUUGCAGUCAUUCCUUUCAAUGCAGGGUUUAUAUGAUGGGGGAAAUGUCAUAUAUGGUCAUUGGGGGAGUAACCUUAGGGUGUACUAAGUAUCAAACGAGAUGACAUAAUGUAGUGGGUAUCAUUGAAAACAGAUUUGACUAAAUAUUAGAGUAUCACUCUCACACAAGGGACAUCUUUUAGGUGCCUCUCAGGAAAAGGUUACCUCAAAUUUUGACUACCCCUACUCUAUAUUCUACCUUUUUUAAAAUGACAUGGUAAAUAUGACUUCCACUACUCUACUUUCUGUCAGGUGCCAUAUGGAGAUUGAUAAACUCUGCUUAUAUAAACAAUGAAAACAGAGGAUGGUUGGUGAGAUGUUAUAUUAAGCUCGAUAUUGUUUCAAAUUUCUUUUGUGCUAACUCAAAGGAUAUUUAAUUCAUGCUAGUUGCUACUCUUGAUUGUGUCCGUGGCUUUCCCUCUGGACACUACUCGCAAGUAUCCAGGUCGAAAUGAUCAAUGACUGAAUUCUUAUGGAUGCAUUCGAGAAUGGAUCAAGAAACAUUGAAUUUCUUUUAAUAUAUAAUAAUAUAAUCCUGGCGCUUACUAGAA
Molecule: long non-coding RNA, 609 nt
Organism: Panicum virgatum (switchgrass)
Lineage: Eukaryota; Viridiplantae; Streptophyta; Magnoliopsida; Poales; Poaceae
Exons: 2
Source: RefSeq, a predicted model, not a curated record